CUGCCCUCUCUCCUUGCUCAGCGCUGUGCAAAAAUAAAGUUCCUACUUUCUUCCACCACCCCCAGUGUCAGAGAUUGGCUUGCUGCGCAGCGGGUGAGCGAAUUCACUUCAGGUUCGGUAACAAUUUGGCAACCCAGACGGGACAAUGUCCCAGGUGGACGUCUCGCCUGUGGCACACUGGCCUCUGGCUAAAGGCCUCUCUUGGAAGCUGUCCUGCAGCUGCCUGAGCCCCUUGUCUCAGGGACAGCCCCAAGCAGCUGGCUGCUAGCCAGACGUCGUUGGCCCACGGCGCUUUUGCUUUGUUGGUGGAAGAAACCAGGUUUAGGACUUAGGAAGACGUCUCUUGCAAGUAGCUGGUAGUUUUUGUCUUUGUCUUUGUGUUAACCUUUUCCAACAGGACCGGCUGGAAAUAAUGGGUACCUUGGCAGCCCUCUGGGCUCCAUUUGUUUUGAAGUCGCCGCGACGCCCUGGCCAAAUUUUGAGUUAAGAAAACCUUUUUCUCUAUUCUCUUAAAGAACAAUGACUUGCAGCAAUUUAUAAACAAAAUUGAAACAUUUGUCUUUUCCUCCCUAUUUGAGCCCCCCAAAACGCAAAAACUUCUGAUAAGACACAAUUGGAAACACUGGUUAUAUUACCAAGACUUUGACUGGAAUAUCAUAUUUAAAAAAAACAUACAGCCUUGGAUAUGACAAGACAGCUUUUGAGGAAUGAAGGUUGACAUUCUGGAAUAAAGCCACUUGGAAAUAUUGGCCUGAAAAACUUCUUAUUAAAUACCUGGUUACUUACAUGAUACAGGCCUAACUUCAGGAGCCCACCAGCAUCACCGCCUUAUUAAAAGACUGGUUCAAUGAGAUGAAACAACCUACGCCACAUUUCAGCAGGAAUUAGCUAGAUUGGUCACCACCCCAAAUCCCUCAAGAUUGAGGGACGGACAUAAAAUAGGGGGAAGUUGAUAUCGACCCUGAUAUCAGUUUCCCCACAUUAAACCCAGCAUAUAUGGGGUUAAAAGCAAAACACUCAUUCCCUGCUUACUCUCUGGCUUCCUGGCUCCAGAAUCCACUAUCCUCCAUGGAGACAGACACCGUCAAGGACAAGCACCUGGACCAUCUCCUCCCCACAAAGAGAUACAGACUGGUGGGAAAGCUGCUGACCACCAAGGUCAUGAACUCCCUCCUGUCUGCAAGUGUCUCAAGGCCAGAGACAGGCUGGUGGGAAAGCUCCGACCAGCAAGGCCAUAUGCUCCCCCUCUCCUACCUAAAGCCCCAAAUAGAAACCCUUCCUUUUAGCUUUUUCAGGGAGUUUGGGAUUUCAGCGUUAGCUGCCCUCUCUCCUUGCUCAGCGCUGUGCAAAAAUAAAGUUCCUACUUUCUUCCACC
This 1375-nucleotide long non-coding RNA is filed under the name Equus asinus (donkey). RNAcentral's name for it is "lncRNA (ENSEASG00005026659.1)". Lineage: Eukaryota; Metazoa; Chordata; Mammalia; Perissodactyla; Equidae. The record is from RNAcentral.